This 473-nucleotide ribosomal RNA is filed under the name uncultured bacterium. RNAcentral describes it as "SSU rRNA". It matches the Rfam family "Bacterial small subunit ribosomal RNA", at positions 26 to 518 of the family's 1533-position model. The record is from RNAcentral.
AGGAUAAACGCUGGCGGCGUGCCUAACACAUGCAAGUCGAACGUCUCUUUCUUCGGGAAGAGGAGUGGCGGACGGGUGAGGAACACGUGGGAACCUGCCCUCCAGUGAGGAAUACCGGCGAGAAAUCGCCGACAAGACCGCAUAGCCCUCUCUGGUGAGAGCCAGAGAAGGAAAGCUUCGCAAGAGGCGCUGGAGGAGGGGCCUGCGUCCGAUUAGCUAGUUGGUGGGGUAAGAGCCUACCAAGGCGUCGAUCGGUAGCUGGUCUGAGAGGACGAUCAGCCACACUGGGAUUGAGAACGGCCCAGACUCCUACGGGGGGCAGCAGUGAGGAAUUUUCGGCAAUGGGGGAAACCCUGACCGAGCAACGCCGCGUGCAGGAAGACGGCCUUCGGGUUGUAAACUGCUUUUCUUUGGGUACGAGCAAGGACGGUACCAGAGGAAUCAGCCCCGGCUCACUACGUGCCAGCAGCCGC